GGGUAGUUUGACUGGGGCGGUCUCCUCCUAAAGAGUAACGGAGGAGCACGAAGGUUGGCUAAUCCUGGUCGGACAUCAGGAGGUUAGUGCAAUGGCAUAAGCCAGCUUGACUGCGAGCGUGACGGCGCGAGCAGGUGCGAAAGCAGGUCAUAGUGAUCCGGUGGUUCUGAAUGGAAGGGCCAUCGCUCAACGGAUAAAAGGUACUCCGGGGAUAACAGGCUGAUACCGCCCAAGAGUUCAUAUCGACGGCGGUGUUUGGCACCUCGAUGUCGGCUCAUCACAUCCUGGGGCUGAAGUAGGUCCCAAGGGUAUGGCUGUUCGCCAUUUAAAGUGGUACGCGAGCUGGGUUUAGAACGUCGUGAGACAGUUCGGUCCCUAUCUGCCGUGGGCGCUGGAGAACUGAGGGGGGCUGCUCCUAGUACGAGAGGACCGGAGUGGACGCAUCACUGGUGUUCGGGUUGUCAUGCCAAUGGCACUGCCCGGUAGCUAAAUGCGGAAGAGAUAAGUGCUGAAAGCAUCUAAGCACGAAACUUGCCCCGAGAUGAGUUCUCCCUGACUCCUUGAGAGUCCUGAAGGAACGUUGAAGACGACGACGUUGAUAGGCCGGGUGUGUAAGCGCAG
RNAcentral lists this ribosomal RNA (621 nucleotides) under Escherichia coli. RNAcentral's name for it is "partial 23S ribosomal RNA". It matches the Rfam family "Bacterial large subunit ribosomal RNA", at positions 2263 to 2878 of the family's 2925-position model. Lineage: Bacteria; Pseudomonadati; Pseudomonadota; Gammaproteobacteria; Enterobacterales; Enterobacteriaceae. The record is from RNAcentral.